GACCGCGUAGCUCAGUUGGCAGAACAUUGGGUUAGUAUUCCAAAGGUUGUAGGUUCGAUUCCCACCGUGGUCA
This 73-nucleotide transfer RNA is filed under the name Paramuricea clavata. It matches the Rfam family "tRNA". From Rfam's summary of the family: Transfer RNA (tRNA) molecules are approximately 80 nucleotides in length. Their secondary structure includes four short double-helical elements and three loops (D, anti-codon, and T loops). Lineage: Eukaryota; Metazoa; Cnidaria; Anthozoa; Malacalcyonacea; Plexauridae. The record is from Rfam by way of RNAcentral.